RNAcentral lists this ribosomal RNA (253 nucleotides) under uncultured bacterium. RNAcentral describes it as "partial 16S ribosomal RNA". It matches the Rfam family "Bacterial small subunit ribosomal RNA", at positions 524 to 776 of the family's 1533-position model. The record is from RNAcentral.
GACAUGGGUGGCAAACGUUAUCCGGAAUUAUUGGGCGUAAAGCGUGCGUAGGUGGUUUGUUAAGUCUGUUGUGAAAGCCCCGGGCUCAACCUGGGAAUGGCAAUGGAUACUGGCAAGCUAGAGUGCGGUAGAGGGUAGUGGAAUUCCCGGUGUAGCGGUGAAAUGCGUAGAGAUCGGGAGGAACACCAGUGGCGAAGGCGGCUACCUGGACCAGCACUGACACUGAGGCACGAAAGCGUGGGGAGCAAACAGG